CAGUUGUUCGAUCUGAGCCUCCAUGGUCUUUGUCAUCUUCCUUCGAAAUUUUCUUUGUUCCUGAACUACCUGAGACCAUCAUUGGAUAGGAUCAACCGAAGGAUUCGUCGGCAGUGAUGCAGUAUCAGGCCUCUUGCGCACCGACAUAGUAGCAGUCCUUGGAGGUGAGGAAGCUACUCCCCAUCGAGGAGCGUCUUCCCCAGUCAUAGCAAAAG
This 215-nucleotide long non-coding RNA is filed under the name Elaeis guineensis (African oil palm). RNAcentral's name for it is "long non-coding RNA (EGUI_LNC016271)". Lineage: Eukaryota; Viridiplantae; Streptophyta; Magnoliopsida; Arecales; Arecaceae. The record is from RNAcentral.